Molecule: signal recognition particle RNA, 96 nt
Filed under: Bacteriovorax sp. BSW11_IV
Lineage: Bacteria; Pseudomonadati; Bdellovibrionota; Bacteriovoracia; Bacteriovoracales; Bacteriovoracaceae
Description: Bacterial small signal recognition particle RNA
Rfam family: Bacterial small signal recognition particle RNA
About the family: The signal recognition particle (SRP) is a universally conserved ribonucleoprotein involved in the co-translational targeting of proteins to membranes. Archaeal SRP consists of a 7S RNA and homologues of the eukaryotic SRP19 and SRP54 proteins. In most bacteria, the SRP consists of a 4.5S RNA and the Ffh protein (a homologue of the eukaryotic SRP54 protein).
Source: Rfam by way of RNAcentral
GUCGAUCCUACAGCGAGUAUUUUCUUGGUGAACUCCGCCAGGUCGGGAACGAAGCAACGGUAGCCGUAGAGGUAUUGUGUUGUAUGGAUCGGCUGC